AUUGUGCCAGCAGCCGCGGUAAUACGGAGGGUGCGAGCGUUAAUCGGAAUUACUGGGCGUAAAGCGAGUGUAGGUGGCUCAUUAAGUCACAUGUGAAAUCCCCGGGCUUAACCUGGGAACUGCAUGUGAUACUGGUGAUGCUAGAAUAUGUGAGAGGGAAGUAGAAUUCCAGGUGUAGCGGUGAAAUGCGUAGAGAUCCGGAGGAAUACCGAUGGCGAAGGCAGCUUCCUGGCAUAAUAUUGACACUGAGAUUCGAAAGCGUGGGUAGCAAACAGGAUUAGAUACCCUGGUAGUCCACGCCGUAAACGAUGUCUACUAGCCGUUGGGGUCCUUGAGACUUUAGUGGCGCAGUUAACGCGAUAAGUAGACCGCCUGGGGAAUACGGCCGCAAGGUUAAAACUCAAAUGAAUUGACGGGGGCCCGCACAAGCGGUGGAGCAUGUGGUUUAAUUCGAUGCAACGCGAAGAACCUUACCUGGUCUUGACAUAGUGAGAAUCUCUCANAGAUGAGAGAGUGCCUUCGGGAACUCACAUACAGGUGCUGCAUGGCUGUCGUCAGCCCGUGUCGUGAGAUGUUGGGUUAAGUCCCGCAACGAGCGCAACCCUUUUCCUUAUUUGCCAGCGGGUUAAGCCGGGGACUUUAAGGAUACUGCCGGUGACAAACUGGAGGAAGGCGGGGACGACGUCAAGUCAUCAUGGCCCUUACGACCAGGGCUACACACGUGCUACAAUGGUAGGUACAGAGGGUUGCUACACAGCGAUGUGAUACUAAUCUCAAAAGCCUAUCGUAGUCCGGAUUGGAGUCUGCAACUCGACUCCAUGAAGUCGGAAUCGCUAGUAAUCGCGGAUCAGAAUGCCGC
Molecule: ribosomal RNA, 859 nt
Filed under: uncultured Moraxella sp.
Lineage: Bacteria; Pseudomonadati; Pseudomonadota; Gammaproteobacteria; Moraxellales; Moraxellaceae
Description: bacterial SSU rRNA
Rfam family: Bacterial small subunit ribosomal RNA
Source: RNAcentral